AUGAGUUUAAUCCAUAAAUGAGUUGAGUAAUAUAUUUCUUAUAUACUCAAGAAUGUUCACUUUAAAGGAAAUUAGUUUUAAUUCAUGCACAAUACUACAAAUUCCAAAAAACGGGCUUAACUUUUUUUGGUAAAAAUAUGCCCAUAUAUGGUAAUCACAUGACGUCCAUUGUUGCUUUAAGAAAUGGGGUCAAACCGGGGUCAGCUUUCCGACUGAAU
Molecule: long non-coding RNA, 218 nt
Filed under: Mytilus galloprovincialis (Mediterranean mussel)
Lineage: Eukaryota; Metazoa; Mollusca; Bivalvia; Mytilida; Mytilidae
Source: RNAcentral